This 473-nucleotide ribosomal RNA is filed under the name uncultured bacterium. RNAcentral describes it as "bacterial SSU rRNA". It matches the Rfam family "Bacterial small subunit ribosomal RNA", at positions 28 to 507 of the family's 1533-position model. The record is from RNAcentral.
GACGAACGCUGGCGGCGUGCCUAACACAUGCAAGUCGAGCGGAGACAGUGAGUAGCUUGCUAUGAGCUGUUUUAGCGGCGGACGGGUGAGUAACGCGUGAGCAACCUUUCCCAGACAGGGGAAUAACACACCGAAAGGUGUACUAAUACCGCAUAAGACCACGGGAUCACAUGGUUCUGGGGUAAAAGAAUUAUCGGUUUGGGGUGGGCUCGCGUCCGAUUAGGUAGUUGGUGAGGUAACGGCCCACCAAGCCGACGAUCGGUAGCCGACCUGAGAGGGUGAUCGGCCACAUUGGGACUGAGACACGGCCCAAACUCCUACGGGAGGCAGCAGUGGGGAAUAUUGCACAAUGGGGGAAACCCUGAUGCAGCGACGCCGCGUGAGCGAAGAAGUAUUUCGGUAUGUAAAGCUCUAUCAGCAGGGAAGAAAAAAAAUAGACGGUACCUGACUAAGAAGCACCGGCUAAAUACGUG